UCAGUCGACUCCUACGGGGAGGCAGCAGUAGGGAAUCUUCCACAAUGGACGAAAGUCUGAUGGAGCAACGCCGCGUGAACGAUGAAGGCUUUCGGGGUCGUAAAGUUCUGUUGUAAGGGGAAGAACAAGUGCCGCAGGCAAUGGCGGCACCUUGACGGUACCUUGCGAGAAAGCCACGGCUAACUACGUGCCAGCAGCCGCGGUAAUACGUAGGUGGCAAGCGUUGUCCGGAAUUAUUGGGCGUAAAGCGCGCGCAGGCGGCCUCUUAAGUCUGAUGUGAAAGACCCCCGGCUCAACCGGGGAGGGGCCAUUGGAAACUGGGAGGCUUGAGUAUAGGAGAGAAGAGUGGAAUUCCACGUGUAGCGGUGAAAUGCGUAGAGAUGUGGAGGAACACCAGUGGCGAAGGCGACUCUUUGGCCUAUAACUGACGCUGAGGCGCGAAAGCGUGGGGAGCAAACAGGAUUAGAUACCCUGGUAG
RNAcentral lists this ribosomal RNA (478 nucleotides) under uncultured bacterium. RNAcentral describes it as "bacterial SSU rRNA". It matches the Rfam family "Bacterial small subunit ribosomal RNA", at positions 328 to 793 of the family's 1533-position model. The record is from RNAcentral.